Perognathus longimembris pacificus (Pacific pocket mouse) is the source of this 225-nucleotide long non-coding RNA. RefSeq lists it as uncharacterized. The transcript has 2 exons. Lineage: Eukaryota; Metazoa; Chordata; Mammalia; Rodentia; Heteromyidae. The record is from RefSeq and is a predicted model, not a curated record.
GGAUUUAAAAAGUAAGGAUUGUCUUCAAUUGUCACAGAAUGCUUGAGUAAGUUGCUGAUGGUAUGCGGAAGCAGAAGAUGGUGUGAAUGGGUAUGUGUUAAACUUUACAAAGAGAAUUGGGGAAACAAAAAUGAUUUCCUUUAGAUUAAAAGGUUUUGGCAUGUUAAAAGUGAGGAAGACAAUCCCAAGAAAGUUUAAGUAUAUAACAAAUGAUAUUAGUAUGUC